This 1925-nucleotide ribosomal RNA is filed under the name human gut metagenome. Its description in RNAcentral is "bacterial LSU rRNA". It matches the Rfam family "Bacterial large subunit ribosomal RNA", at positions 3 to 1973 of the family's 2925-position model. The record is from RNAcentral.
UCAAGCGACUAAGUGUAUGUGGUGGAUGCCUUGGCGAUCACAGGCGAUGAAGGACGUGACAGCCUGCGAAAAGCUGUGGGGAGCUGGCAAAUAAGCUUUGAUCCACAGAUGUCCGAAUGAGGGAACUCACCUGCUUUGCAGGUAUCCCAUCCUGAAUAUAUAGGGAUGGGAGGCGAACGAAGCGAACUGAAACAUCUAAGUAGCUUCAGGAAAAGAAAUCAACCGAGAUUCCGAAAGUAGCGGCGAGCGAAAUCGGAUCAGCCCAGCACUCGAUAGCAGCCAACUUACGGGAACGGUCUGGAAAGUCCGGCCAUAGAGGGUGAUAGCCCCUUACUGGAAAAGGCAGCUGCGGUACUAAGUGUGCGAUAAGUAGAGCGGGACACGUGACAUCCUGCUCGAAGAUGGGGGGACCAUCCUCCAAGGCUAAAUACUCGUGAUCGACCGAUAGCGUACCAGUACUGUGAAGGAAAGGUUAAAAGAACCCCGGGAGGGGAGUGAAAUAGAUCCUGAAACCGCAUACAUACAAACAGUAGGAGCCUCGUUAAGGGGUGACUGCGUACCUUUUGCAUAAUGGGUCAGCGACUUACGUUUAAUGGCGAGCUUAACCGUAUAGGGGAGGCGCAGCGAAAGCGAGUUCGAACAGAGCGUUCAGUCGUUAGGCGUAGACCCGAAACCAGAUGAUCUAUCCAUGGCCAGGUUGAAGGUGUGGUAACACACACUGGAGGACCGAACCGACUAGUGUUGCAAAAUUAGCGGAUGAGCUGUGGAUAGGGGUGAAAGGCUAAACAAAUCUGGAGAUAGCUGGUUCUCCCCGAAAACUAUUGAGGUAGUGCCUCGUGUAUGACUCCAGGGGGUAGAGCACUGUUAUGGCUAGGGGGACAUGGCGUCUUACCAAACCAUGGCAAACUCCGAAUACUUGGAAGUUUGAGCACGGGAGACAGAGCACCGGGUGCUAACGUCCGGACUCAAAAGGGAAACAACCCAGACCGCCGGCUAAGGUCCCUAAUAUCGGCUAAGUGGAAAACGAAGUGGGAAGGCUAAGACAGUCAGGAAGUUGGCUUAGAAGCAGCCAUCCUUCAAAGAAAGCGUAAUAGCUCACUGAUCGAGUCUUUCUGCGCGGAAGAUGUAACGGGGCUAAGUCAAUAACCGAAGCCGCGGAUUCACACUUGUGUGUGAGUGGUAGGGGAGCGUUCUGUAAGCCUGCGAAGGUGACUCGUAAGGGUUGCUGGAGGUAUCAGAAGUGCGAAUGCUGACAUGAGUAACGUUAAAGCGGGUGAAAAGCCCGCUCGCCGUAAGCCCAAGGUUUCCUGCUCUACGUUCAUCGGAGCAGGGUGAGUCGGCCCCUAAGGUGAGGCUGAGAAGCGUAACUGAUGGGAACAAGGUUAAUAUUCCUUGACCACCGCUGAAUGCGAAGGGGGGACGGAGUAUUGAAGAUCAUCCGGGUGUUGGAUAUCCCGGUUUGCGAGCGUAGGAGGCUGACAGGCAAAUCCGUCAGCGAAUCUCCGAGGCGAAGCAUCGAGCUCUCUUUUGAGCGAAGUGAUUGGAUGUGCUUCCAGGAAAAGCCUCUAAGCUCCAGUUCAGCGGGACCGUACCGCAAACCGACACUGGUGGGCGAGCUGAAUAUGCUCAGGCGCUUGAGAGAACUCAGGAGAAGGAACUCGGCAAAUUGACACCGUAACUUCGGGAUAAGGUGUGCCUUUGUAGCGUGGAGGGAGAAACACCCCGAGCGCGAAGAGGUCUCAGAUAAUCGGUGGCUGCGACUGUUUAUUAAAAACACAGCACUCUGCAAAGACGAAAGUCGACGUAUAGGGUGUGAUGCCUGCCCGGUGCUGGAAGAUUAAUUGAUGGGGUGCAAGCUCCUGAUCGAAGUCCCAGUAAACGGCGGCCGUAACUAUAACGGUCCUAAGGUAGCGAAAUUCCUUGUC